UGUGGGAGCUGGCUUGCCUGCGAUGGCGCCGGGUCAGCCAACUCAUCGGUAUCUGAUGCACCGCUAUCGCAGGCAAGCCAGCUCCCACC
Molecule: non-coding RNA, 89 nt
Filed under: Pseudomonas tolaasii NCPPB 2192
Lineage: Bacteria; Pseudomonadati; Pseudomonadota; Gammaproteobacteria; Pseudomonadales; Pseudomonadaceae
Source: RNAcentral